UUUGGUUAAGUUAGAAAGGGCGCACGGUGGAUGCCUUGACACUAGGAGUCGAUGAAGGACGGGACUAACGCCGAUAUGCUUCGGGGAGCUGUAAGUAAGCUUUGAUCCGAAGAUUUCCGAAUGGGGAAACCCACCAUACGUAAUGGUAUGGUAUCCUUAUCUGAAUACAUAGGGUAAGGAAGACAGACCCAGGGAACUGAAACAUCUAAGUACCUGGAGGAAGAGAAAGCAAAUGCGAUUUCCUGAGUAGCGGCGAGCGAAACGGAACAUAGCCCAAACCAAGAGGCUUGCCUCUUGGGGUUGUAGGACAUUCUAUACGGAGUUACAAAGGAACGAGGUAGACGAAGCGACCUGGAAAGGUCCGUCGUAGAGGGUAACAACCCCGUAGUCGAAACUUCGUUCUCUCUUGAAUGUAUCCUGAGUACGGCGGAACACGUGAAAUUCCGUCGGAAUCUGGGAGGACCAUCUCCCAAGGCUAAAUACUCCCUAGUGAUCGAUAGUGAACCAGUACCGUGAGGGAAAGGUGAAAAGCACCCCGGAAGGGGAGUGAAAGAGAUCCUGAAACCGUGUGCCUACAAAUAGUCAGAGCCCGUUAACGGGUGAUGGCGUGCCUUUUGUAGAAUGAACCGGCGAGUUACGAUCCCGUGCGAGGUUAAGCUGAAGAGGCGGAGCCGCAGCGAAAGCGAGUCUGAAUAGGGCGUUUAGUACGUGGUCGUAGACCCGAAACCAGGUGAUCUACCCAUGUCCAGGGUGAAGUUCAGGUAACACUGAAUGGAGGCCCGAACCCACGCACGUUGAAAAGUGCGGGGAUGAGGUGUGGGUAGCGGAGAAAUUCCAAUCGAACCUGGAGAUAGCUGGUUCUCCCCGAAAUAGCUUUAGGGCUAGCCUUAAGUGUAAGAGUCUUGGAGGUAGAGCACUGAUUGGACUAGGGGUCCUCAUCGGAUUACCGAAUUCAGUCAAACUCCGAAUGCCAAUGACUUAUCCUUAGGAGUCAGACUGCGAGUGAUAAGAUCCGUAGUCAAAAGGGAAACAGCCCAGACCGCCAGCUAAGGUCCCAAAGUGUGUAUUAAGUGGAAAAGGAUGUGGAGUUGCUUAGACAACUAGGAUGUUGGCUUAGAAGCAGCCACCAUUUAAAGAGUGCGUAAUAGCUCACUAGUCGAGUGACUCUGCGCCGAAAAUGUACCGGGGCUAAAUACACCACCGAAGCUGCGGAUUGAUACCGAAUGGUAUCAGUGGUAGGGGAGCGUUCUAAGGACAGUGAAGUCAGACCGGAAGGACUGGUGGAGUGCUUAGAAGUGAGAAUGCCGGUAUGAGUAGCGAAAGACGGGUGAGAAUCCCGUCCACCGAAUGCCUAAGGUUUCCUGAGGAAGGCUCGUCCGCUCAGGGUUAGUCAGGACCUAAGCCGAGGCCGACAGGCGUAGGCGAUGGACAACAGGUUGAUAUUCCUGUACCACCUCUUUAUCGUUUGAGCAAUGGAGGGACGCAGAAGGAUAGAAGAAGCGUGCGAUUGGUUGUGCACGUCCAAGCAGUUAGGCUGAUAAGUAGGCAAAUCCGCUUAUCGUAAAGGCUGAGCUGUGAUGGGGAAG
Molecule: ribosomal RNA, 1586 nt
Filed under: Salmonella enterica subsp. enterica serovar Saintpaul
Lineage: Bacteria; Pseudomonadati; Pseudomonadota; Gammaproteobacteria; Enterobacterales; Enterobacteriaceae
Description: partial 23S ribosomal RNA
Rfam family: Bacterial large subunit ribosomal RNA
Source: RNAcentral